GCCAGGCGCAGUGGCGUGUGCCUGCGGUCCAGCUACUUGGGAGACUGAGGUGGGAGGAUCACUUGAGCCCAGGAGUUCUGGGCUGCAGUGCGCUAUGCUGAUUGGGUGUCUGCACUAAGUUCAGCAUCAGUAUGGUGACCUCCCAGGAGCAGAGAACCACCAGGUUGCUGAAAGUGGGGUGAACCAGCCCAGACCAGAAACGGAGCAGGUCAAAACUCCUGUGCUGAUCGGUAGUGGGAUCAUGCCUGUAAAUAGCCACUGCACUCCAGCCUGGGCAACAUAGUGAGACCCCGUCCCU
This 298-nucleotide signal recognition particle RNA is filed under the name Saimiri boliviensis boliviensis (Bolivian squirrel monkey). Its description in RNAcentral is "Metazoan signal recognition particle RNA (ENSSBOG00000003054.1)". It matches the Rfam family "Metazoan signal recognition particle RNA". Rfam says of the family: The signal recognition particle (SRP) is a universally conserved ribonucleoprotein. It is involved in the co-translational targeting of proteins to membranes. The record is from RNAcentral. Lineage: Eukaryota; Metazoa; Chordata; Mammalia; Primates; Cebidae.